Molecule: long non-coding RNA, 823 nt
Filed under: Pongo abelii (Sumatran orangutan)
Lineage: Eukaryota; Metazoa; Chordata; Mammalia; Primates; Hominidae
Description: lincRNA
Source: RNAcentral
ACCAUUUGACAUCCUGGCCGGGGAGGAUUCAGAUCAGAGAUGACUUCACCACUGCCACAAAGUAUGGUUCUGGGAAGGACAACCAGCCCCAAGGCCACGAAGGUUCUGAAAAAGUUUCUUCUCAUUUGAAGUCCAGUAUUUCCUCGGCCCCAUUUUUCUGUUAAACAAUCCUUUUCCCUUGGAGAUUGCUAAAGCUUAGCUCCAGGGCCAGCCUAAGCUCCAGCAGAACUGGGAGCAUCUCCUGUCUACAUAGCUCCCUUCCCUCCUGCCUUCCUACUGUCAAAGGAGAAACAGCAUGUAAUUUGAUUUUUUUCCCCUUCUCCUCACUUGCCAUACUGUGUUCUCUGCCUGGGCCUGGGCCUCUCCUUGCAGAGGCUGUGGACAGGAGCACCGAGAGCCACUUCCUGGAGCACGCUCCCCACCCCCACAGCCUGUGGCUUCAGCCUCUGCUUCUGCAGGCAGCGGUGGAGGAAGUCAGGACUGUCCCUUCUGACCUGGACACCUACCUCCAAGUCCUCCCUGUCGCCACAGAGACCCAGCAAUGCAAGUGAGUCCUGUUUGACCUCGUCAAUCAUUGCAGACUGUAAAGGUGACUCAGAUGCUCAAGAAACGAGCAUGCCCAGCAGUGGGCCCCAGACUUCCCGCAGGCCCAGGUCCUCCUGGGUGCACAGAGACCUACCAGACAAAGGUCCGGCUGCACUAGUGUUGUGAGAUGCCUGUGUCAGAAGACACACUUGCCUCCUAUCAUGCCGAUGAUCACAGGAGAAAGAGCAGGGCACAUGCGUGCCAGCAUGCUGAAGGGAGGCCAGAACCCACACUUGAA